UGCCUUAGUAACGGCGAGUGAAGCGGCAAUAGCUCAAAUUUGAAAUCUGUCUCUUUUAGAGUCCGAGUUGUAAUUUGUAGAGGAUGUUUCGGCUUACGCCCCGGUUUAAAUUCCUUGGAACAGGAUGUCAUAGAGGGUGAGAAUCCCGUUUGUGGCCGGCGGCUUCCGCUAUGUGAAACUCCUUCGACGAGUCGAGUUGUUUGGGAAUGCAGCUCUAAAUGGGAGGUAAAUUUCUUCUAAAGCUAAAUAUUGGCCAGAGACCGAUAGCGCACAAGUAGAGUGAUCGAAAGAUGAAAAGCACUUUGGAAAGAGAGUUAAAAAGUACGUGAAAUUGUUGAAAGGGAAGCGCUUGCGACUAGACUUGUCUUCAGUUGCUCCGCCGGUCCUUCGACCGGUGUAUUCUUCUGUUGUCAGGCCAGCAUUAGUUCGGGCGGUUGGAUAAAGGCUUUGGGAAUGUGACUCUCUUCGGGGAGUGUUAUAGCCCAUUGUGCAAUACAGCCUGCCUGGACUAAGGACCGCGCUUCGGCUAGGAUGCUGGCGUAAUGGUCGUAAGCGGCCCGUCUUGAAACACGGACCAAGGAGUCUAACAUCUAUGCGAGUGUUUGGGUGUCAAACCCGUGCGCGUAAUGAAAGUGAACGGAGGUGGGAACCUUUUAGGUGCACCAUCGACCGAUCUUGAUGUCUUCGGAUGGAUUUGAGUAAGAGCAUAACUGUUGGGACCCGAAAGAUGGUGAACUAUGCCUGAAUAGGGUGAAGCCAGAGGAAACUCUGGUGGAGGCUCGCAGCGGUUCUGACGUGCAAAUCGAUCGUCAAAUUUAGGCAUAGGGGCGAAAGUAAGUUCUAAAUUCCCUCCCUUUAUUUAGAGGAGACUCUUUUUUUUUAGGCCUUUUACUAAUUAUAAUUUAUAGGACUAAUCGAACCAUUAACCUAAACCAAUAGUUUUAUAACUA
This 950-nucleotide ribosomal RNA is filed under the name Helicoma sp. RNAcentral describes it as "LSU rRNA". It matches the Rfam family "Eukaryotic large subunit ribosomal RNA", at positions 76 to 933 of the family's 3401-position model. Lineage: Eukaryota; Fungi; Ascomycota; Dothideomycetes; Tubeufiales; Tubeufiaceae. The record is from RNAcentral.